This 2050-nucleotide long non-coding RNA is filed under the name Prunus dulcis (almond). Its description in RNAcentral is "sRNA ncRNA". Lineage: Eukaryota; Viridiplantae; Streptophyta; Magnoliopsida; Rosales; Rosaceae. The record is from RNAcentral.
GUUUUUUUGAAAAAUUUUGGACGCUCUCUCUGUCGUCUCUCUCAAUUGGCGGAAAGCAGGCCAGCGAUCUUGGUGCUCCGGCCACGGCCAGCAGUGAGAGCGGUCGGAAAAGGAUCGGCCAGGGCCGACGAUCAAGUCUGGGCUAAAGCCCAGCCACAUCAGCCGCUCACGACGCCGCUAAAAGCUCAGAAAGGUCUGUGGAUUUCGAGUUUUCCGACGUCGUUUUCGGCGACUCCGGCUGUUGUUUCCGUCGAUCGAGGUAUGAAACUUCAUCUACUUUUCAUACUCUAGCUGUUUAUGUAUGUGGUUAGGAUAGAUUUUGGAGUUUUGGAAAUUAAUCAAUACACCCUAGUUUGACCGACGGCUUUGGCAGUGUUCCGAAUUGCUCCGGCCACUUUUUGGCCGAGGUCCAAGACCAAAAUUUACUCCCCUUGUUAGUAUGAAUAUGUUGGUAUAGGUAUUGUAGGGACUUUUGGGAAUUUUUAGAGAUAAGUUAUCAUUUGACUUUGACGGUAUGCUUGGUAUUCGGGGUUGUUGGAAUGCUAGUAGCAUCUGUUUUUUGAAAUAAUGUUAAUAUGAGAACUUCAAGCGAGACAAUAUGAGAGGAAGCAAAUUUAACAGUAGCUGUUGGCUUGUGCAAUUGAGGUGCAAAGUAAACUUUUUUCUUAAAUUCUUUUAGGCUUAAGAAUAUCAUAGGGAGACAGAGAGAGCGAUAGCUUGUACAGAAAAUUGGACCACUUUCUGAGCAUUUUUAUUUUAUGCUCAAGAUUCUUUGCAGUUGAUAACAAUUGUUUUCUCUUUCUCAGUCUCCAAUCUUCUUCUUUUUUUUCCUUUUUUUUUCUUCAAAUAAUGGAAUGCAAAAUUGGAGUAUUGAUUGAAUGGUUUCUGUUCUGAUAAUGGAAUGCAAAAUUCUCUUUUCAAAUUUUGUUUGUCUCUCACUGUGCUCGGUUUUCUAGCCAGCAAUAUCCAUUUGCUUUUGUGUCACAUCAAAUUUACUAAUCUUAAUUAGUAACCAUAUCCAUGGAAACUGCAAAGGGGUUUGGUCAGUAUAAAGUUUGUUGCCAUUAGUUAGCAAGGAAGAAGACAUUUAAUAUUUUUUACCAGUGGCAAAAAAUGAAAAGAAAAUCAAGGCAUUGGCUGCUGCAACUCAUACUGUUUGUUUCUGUCAUGGCAAUUUUGGCAGCAACUUGUUGCCAAACCAGUUCACCUACAUCACUUGUUCUUUCAAUUUCAGUUGUAUUUCAAGGUUGCUACUUUACGAACAUGGGGUUUUUGCUCUGGGUUCCUAGGUUUGUUCAAAAGGUUGUGUUUUCCGUUAUGUUUUUCAAGGUUGUUGGUUUAUGAACAUGGGGUUUUUGUAGUUGUACAUUUUUAUCGUAACUAUUAUGCAAAUGAAAUAUAGUUGUUAGCUUCCAGUAAGUGGUAUGAAUAGUUGUUAAACUGUUCAUACCCUGCAAUUGAGUUGAUUUCUAUGACAUAGUAUUAACAGUGUACUUCCAUGACAUAGUAUUAACAGAUUUUUCAGUAACAAAGCAUGCGCUAUUUUUUGCUCAUAUAGUUGUGCACUUAAAGUUUAUGAUAUGCAUAAUGUGAUUUUCACUAGGAAGGUAGUUCUAUGACACAGUAUUAACAGUGUACUUUUUUUUUUUCUUCUUGUAGAGGGCCUUUGCGAUUGCUUCUGGUAAAACUAUGGACAAUGUGAUUUUAUGAUAUGCAAAAAUGUGAUUUUUCCUAGGAAAAUAGUUCUAUGACAUAGUAUUAACAAUGUACUUCUGUGACAUAGUAUUAACAGUGUACUUUUUUUUUCUUCUUAUAAAGGUAUUUCCUUGUGCCUUUGCAAUUGUAUCUGGUGAAACUAUGGACAAUUGGAGGUGGCAGCAAAGGAUAUCGAAUCUCUUGUUAGGGUUUUUUGGAUUUUUUGUAUGAAAUAGUAUUUACAAUGUUUUUCUAUGAAAUUGUAUUAAGAAUGUUUUUCUAUGAAAUUGUAUUAACAAUAUAGCAUGGUAUUAACAAUGCACUUUUAUGACAUGAUAUUAACAAUGUACUUUCA